CAAAGAAUAGUUUAAUGAAUAGAAUAUUAAUUUUGGAGAUUAAAGGUAUAUAUAUGAAGUAUAUUUUUUUGA
This 72-nucleotide transfer RNA is filed under the name Atta texana. RNAcentral's name for it is "tRNA-Pro". Lineage: Eukaryota; Metazoa; Arthropoda; Insecta; Hymenoptera; Formicidae. The record is from RNAcentral.